GAUGAACGCUGGCGGCGUGCCUAACACAUGCAAGUCGAGCGAACGGACGAGAAGCUUGCUUCUCUGAUGUUAGCGGCGGACGGGCGAGUAACACGUGGAUAACCUACCUAUAAGACUGGGAUAACUUCGGGAAACCGGAGCUAAUACCGGAUGAUAUCUUGAACCGUAUGGUUCAAAAGUGAAAGACGGUCUUUCUGUUUCUUAUAGAUGGUUCCGGGCUGCAUUAGCUAGUUGGUAAGGUAACGGCUUACCAAGGCGACGAUGCAUAGCCGACCUGAGAGAGUGAUCGGCCACACUGGAACUGAGACACGGUCCAGACUCCUACGAGAGGCAGCAGUAGGGAAUCUUACGCAAUGGGCGAAAGCCUGACAGAGCAACGCCGCGUGAGUGAUGAAGGUCUUCGGAUCGUAAAGCUCUGUUGUUAGGGAAGAACAUAUGUGUAAGUAACUGUACACAUCUUGACGGUACCUAAUCAGAAAGCCACGGCUAACUACGUG
RNAcentral lists this ribosomal RNA (497 nucleotides) under uncultured bacterium. Its description in RNAcentral is "partial 16S ribosomal RNA". It matches the Rfam family "Bacterial small subunit ribosomal RNA", at positions 28 to 507 of the family's 1533-position model. The record is from RNAcentral.